Molecule: ribosomal RNA, 460 nt
Filed under: uncultured bacterium
Lineage: Bacteria
Description: partial 16S ribosomal RNA
Rfam family: Bacterial small subunit ribosomal RNA
Source: RNAcentral
CCUACGGGGGGCAGCAGUGAGGAAUAUUGGUCAAUGGCCGGAAGGCUGAACCAGCCAUGCCGCGUGAAGGUCAGUGCCCUAUGGGCGUUAAACUUCUUUUGUGCGGGAGCAAUAAUGGUCACGUGUGGCCAGACGAGAGUACCGUACGAAUAAGCAUCGGCUAACUCCGUGCCAGCAGCCGCGGUAAUACGGGGGAUGCAAGCGUUAUCCGGAUUUAUUGGGUUUAAAGGGUGCGUAGGCUGUGAGGUAAGGCAGCGGUGAAAUGCCUCCGCUCAACGGGGUGAAGUGCCAUUGAUACUGGCUGGCUGGAAUGCGGAUGCCGUGGGAGGAAUGUGUGGUGUAGCGGUGAAAUGCAUAGAUAUCACACAGAACACCGAUUGCGAAGGCAUCUCACGAAUCCGCGAUUGACGCUGAUGCACGAAAGCGUGGGUAUCAAACAGGAUUAGAUACCCCUGUAGUC